Molecule: long non-coding RNA, 962 nt
Organism: Dromiciops gliroides (monito del monte)
Lineage: Eukaryota; Metazoa; Chordata; Mammalia; Microbiotheria; Microbiotheriidae
Exons: 5
Source: RefSeq, a predicted model, not a curated record
GUGACGGAUGGGCAGAGAUACUUUAUGGCAAAGGAAAAAGCAAUAGCAUGGAAAAUGUGAAGUCACAUGAUCCUUAAGGUCUCAAGAGGGAAGGUGAGGAGGAAGUUCAUUACCUAGGAAGCAGCUUCAGCUCAGGACAAAGUAGUGACUUUCCUGUUUCUUGUGAUUCCUCAUUUUGGAAACCGCACAGCCUCAAGAUGAAGAUCACUGAAGGAUAACCUGAUUUUAGAGGGGAUCUCUAUACCAGCUCUGAAGAUAGAUGCAGUAGAGACCCUGAUUUCAAGGAACUUCCAUUCUACUUGAGGGAAAACUGCACAUGAAAAAAUAUAUAGAUGUCCAGGGUAAUAAGUCAUCACCCAGGCUACUCUCAUGUUUAGGCAAGACUAUGCCGAAAGAACUCCUGAUUCCAAACUCAUCACAUAUGGUGUUUUUUUUCUGGGAUGACUUGUAGAUAUGGCCUUGUUGGGUGAUGUCUGCUCCUAAAAUCACCUGAAGUCAGGCUUUCCCACUUCUCCUCAUCCUCAAGGAGGAAGUUAUCAGAUGCUGUUGAAAUGGUGCUUUAAGCAAGUCAGGCAGGAGGCUGGAGGACACCCUUAGCCACUGGCCUUCUCCCUCUGAGUUAUGGACAGCCUGACCCAGAAUACUUCCUCCUUGGCCAACUAUGUUCCAGCCAGUUUGCUUCCAAUGUUGGAAGAAAACCCAGAGUAAAUUCCUCAGUGCCCUACCCUUUCUUCAUGCUUAAUUCUUACUCAUGGUUAUGUGGACACACACAAAUCAGUCUGACUGAAUCCAGAAAAACAAAAUUUCAAAAUCAAAGAGUUGAAUUCUGCCAUACCAUCAUGUAGGUUCAGAUGUUCUCUUCUCCCCACCUUCAUGUGAUGCCUCAUUGUUGGUUUUAAUGAAAUUUUCAUUUUUCUAUUCAACACACAUUUUAAGUACCUACUUUGUAUAAGCAUAUAUAU